Molecule: ribosomal RNA, 1233 nt
Filed under: Escherichia coli
Lineage: Bacteria; Pseudomonadati; Pseudomonadota; Gammaproteobacteria; Enterobacterales; Enterobacteriaceae
Description: partial 23S ribosomal RNA
Rfam family: Bacterial large subunit ribosomal RNA
Source: RNAcentral
AUAAUGGGUCAGCGACUUAUAUUCUGUAGCAAGGUUAACCGAAUAGGGGAGCCGAAGGGAAACCGAGUCUUAACUGGGCGUUAAGUUGCAGGGUAUAGACCCGAAACCCGGUGAUCUAGCCAUGGGCAGGUUGAAGGUUGGGUAACACUAACUGGAGGACCGAACCGACUAAUGUUGAAAAAUUAGCGGAUGACUUGUGGCUGGGGGUGAAAGGCCAAUCAAACCGGGAGAUAGCUGGUUCUCCCCGAAAGCUAUUUAGGUAGCGCCUCGUGAAUUCAUCUCCGGGGGUAGAGCACUGUUUCGGCAAGGGGGUCAUCCCGACUUACCAACCCGAUGCAAACUGCGAAUACCGGAGAAUGUUAUCACGGGAGACACACGGCGGGUGCUAACGUCCGUCGUGAAGAGGGAAACAACCCAGACCGCCAGCUAAGGUCCCAAAGUCAUGGUUAAGUGGGAAACGAUGUGGGAAGGCCCAGACAGCCAGGAUGUUGGCUUAGAAGCAGCCAUCAUUUAAAGAAAGCGUAAUAGCUCACUGGUCGAGUCGGCCUGCGCGGAAGAUGUAACGGGGCUAAACCAUGCACCGAAGCUGCGGCAGCGACACUAUGUGUUGUUGGGUAGGGGAGCGUUCUGUAAGCCUGUGAAGGUGUGCUGUGAGGCAUGCUGGAGGUAUCAGAAGUGCGAAUGCUGACAUAAGUAACGAUAAAGCGGGUGAAAAGCCCGCUCGCCGGAAGACCAAGGGUUCCUGUCCAACGUUAAUCGGGGCAGGGUGAGUCGACCCCUAAGGCGAGGCCGAAAGGCGUAGUCGAUGGGAAACAGGUUAAUAUUCCUGUACUUGGUGUUACUGCGAAGGGGGGACGGAGAAGGCUAUGUUGGCCGGGCGACGGUUGUCCCGGUUUAAGCGUGUAGGCUGGUUUUCCAGGCAAAUCCGGAAAAUCAAGGCUGAGGCGUGAUGACGAGGCACUACGGUGCUGAAGCAACAAAUGCCCUGCUUCCAGGAAAAGCCUCUAAGCAUCAGGUAACAUCAAAUCGUACCCCAAACCGACACAGGUGGUCAGGUAGAGAAUACCAAGGCGCUUGAGAGAACUCGGGUGAAGGAACUAGGCAAAAUGGUGCCGUAACUUCGGGAGAAGGCACGCUGAUAUGUAGGUGAAGCGACUUGCUCGUGGAGCUGAAAUCAGUCGAAGAUACCAGCUGGCUGCAACUGUUUAUUAAAAACACAGCACUGUGCAAACA